Non-coding RNA from Macaca mulatta (Rhesus monkey), 2044 nucleotides. The record is from RefSeq and is a predicted model, not a curated record. NCBI's taxonomy places the organism in Eukaryota, Metazoa, Chordata, Mammalia, Primates, Cercopithecidae.
AGCAUGGAUUUUGUCAGCCAGAAGGCCGCAUCCAGUCCUGACUGCCUUGGGGACACAAUGUAACCUGCUCGGCAGCUGGACCAUGUCCUUGUACAGAUUUAUGAAUUGACAUAGUGCCUCCCUGAGCAACAGGUGAAAAGGCUCCCCCUGGCUUCCCAUUCCAGCCAAGCCUCUGUGGUCUCCUGGGCUGCAGCUUGGAGAACAGGCUUGUGGGACACAGAAGGGCCUGGCUCCUGAUGCAGAGGGAAGCCGGGCCUGCGAACGGGGCAGGCAGCAGAGACCCUAAGUCAAACAGCAGCUGGCACCCAGAAUGAGGGGAAAGGUAACACGCAACGUGGCGAACUGAUGAGCCUGGGGGCCACGCCUAGGAAGUUUCAUGAAUUGUGACUUGCACUGAGCUGUCCCUCUGCUAAUGAACAGAAGCAUUAGUGGGACGGAGGGACAGGCCCCAGGGACAGCAGGAGGAGGAUCUGAUGUCCACUGUUGAGGGGGAAAAACAGCAUUUUUAAAACAAAGGUGGAGUAUAAGCUAGGAGGGAAAAGAAAACCAACUAGCAUUAUCCACUGUGUGGUGUUUCCAGAUGUCAAACCUCAUUUUAGUUUCAGAGCCCCGAGGGGGGCGUUAAAAGCCCUUCAUUCCGCAUCAUCUGCUUUCUCAGGAACUAAGCCUUGGAGACCGUAAGUGGCCGGUCAAGGUCACCAACCAGGAAGGGGUGGAGUCUGGACCGGACCCAGACCGUGCAGAGAAGGGAGGCGUCCAGCCACCAUGGGACAGUCCCCCAGCGCUUGCCUGGCUCUCAGGCACAUGAACCCAGGUCUAGAGACCACUUGAGGGGCCCCACGGGCAUCCGCAGACGGUACUCACCACUCCUCCGUGAUCCGCGUCUUCAGCUCCGGCAGCAGGAACUGCCCGUGGAAGCGGUGGAUGGAAGAGAUGUUAGAGAAUAUGCCCGUGAUGACUUCUGGAGGGAUCCCCGCAUCCGUCAGCCUGGUGCAGAAAACCUGAGCAUAGAGAAGCCCACGUGUGGCCAGUGAGCCUCUUCCGCUGAGCACAGCUGCGUCCCGCUUCGGCCACAGGUUGCUUCUGGCUAAUUCUUCACAGCACAGAGCCUGGCUCACUGGCUUGGCGUGUGUUCCCCUACAUCACCCACAACAUCAGACCCCUGUUCUUCCUCAGGGUGGGGCAGAGGAGACUCCGGGUCCCAAAGAUCCUGUGUGGUGCCUUGACCUGAGGACCAGCCGGAGUGUGACAGACUGCCCUCUGUCAAGGCAUCCCACAAGGGAGGAGACAAACUCGUUCCCAUCAGUGACAGAAGCACCGGAGCAAGCGCUGGAAACUUCCUAUUGCAGACACCAGGAACUGGGCCUUCCCCGCACAAGCCUGGCCCUGUGCACACCCCAGAACCUGAGGGGCUGGGCCUGGGGUCUGCACUGUCCCCGGCACUCAGGAGACUGGACAGCCUGCUUGGGACACCCCUGGAGCUGUGGGUGGCGUGGCCAGGACUCACCAGGCCUUCUGUUGUCUGUGUUCUGAUGUGCUGACAUCUGGACCUUUCUGACCCUAGAGGGACUGCCCCUCCCAGGGUAGCCAAUUCUAGAGAGAGUAAAGGCCCAGGCUUGCCCUGCAAACUCGCCUUUCCAAUGCCCACCAACCCCCACAGAGCCCACACCCACCCCCCUUCUAUGGGGCCCUCACACUCCAGGCCAUAUGCCCCUGCCCUCCUCACCCCAGGGUGGGUACCAGACAGCCAGGGACAGCCCCUGUGCCCCAGAACCCAGUGAAAUCAUUCACACCAAGCAAUCCUCAGCCCACUUACCCUGCCUUGCCCGUUCCUUCCUGCGGAAACCAUAUUACCGUCUCAGGCCCACAGUUUCCCCUUGAACCCUCUGCCUCCUGACUGACCCUGGGCUUCCCUGUGGCCCCACGGUGUGGUGUGAUGUGCCCCUUUCUCUUGGAAACCGAGGAUGACAAACCAUCUUGUCAAUGGCAGUGGUCUCCUGAUCCUUCCUACACCUGAGUGAUAAUAAAGCCUCCAUUGAACACA